Molecule: ribosomal RNA, 439 nt
Filed under: uncultured bacterium
Lineage: Bacteria
Description: partial 16S ribosomal RNA
Rfam family: Bacterial small subunit ribosomal RNA
Source: RNAcentral
CUACGGGCCGCUGCAGUGAGGAAUAUUGCACAAUGGGGGGAACCCUGAUGCAGCAACGCCGCGUGGAGGAUGACGCAUUUCGGUGUGUAAACUCCUUUUAUAUGUCAAGAAAAUGACGGUAGCUUAUGAAUAAGCACCGGCUAACUCCGUGCCAGCAGCCGCGGUAAUACGGAGGGUGCAAGCGUUACUCGGAAUCACUGGGCGUAAAGGACGCGUAGGCGGGUUGGAAAGUCAGGUGUGAAAUCCUACAGCUUAACUGUAGAACUGCACUUGAAACUUCUAAUCUAGAGUAUGGGAGGGGGAGAUGGAAUUAGUGGUGUAGGGGUAAAAUCCGUAGAUAUCACUAGGAAUACCUAAAGCGAAGGCGAUCUCCUGGAACAUUACUGACGCUGAGACGCGAAAGCGUGGGGAGCAAACAGGAUUAGAUACCCCUGUAGUC